GUAUUAGAUGUAGAGGUAUUGGAGGUAACGUUAUUAGAGGUAUGAGAUGUAUGAGAGGAAUUAUGAGUAUGAGAGAUGUUAGAGGUAGAGGUAUGAGAGGUAGAGGUAUGAGAGGUAUUGGAGGCAGGUGUAUUAGAAGCAUCAGAGGUAGAUGUAUUAGAGGUAGCGGUAUUAGAGGUAUGAGAGGUAUGAUAGGUAGGGGUAUGAGAGGUAUUAAAGAUAUUGGAGGUAUGAGAGGUAUUGGAGGCAGGUGUAUUAGAGGCAUUAGAGGUAAAUGUAUUAGAGGUAGAGGUAUGAGAGGUAUUAGAGGUAGUGGAGAUAUGAGAGGUAUUAGAGGUAUGAGAGGUAUUAGAGGUAUGAGAGGUAUUAGAGGUAUGAGAGGUAUUGGAGGUAGAUGUAUUCAGGGUAGAGGUAUUAAAGAUAUUGGAUGAAUGAGAGGUAUUGGAAGUAGAGGUUUUAGAGGUUUGAGAGGUAUUAGAGGUAGAUGUAUUAGAGUAGAAGUAUUAAAGAUAUUGGAAGCAUGAGAGGUAGAGGUAUUGGAGGUAUUAGCGGUAUUGGAGAUAUGAAAGGUAAAGUUAUUGGAGGUAUUGGAGAUAUGAGAGGUAUGAGAGGUAUUUGAGGUAGGGGCAGAGAGGUAGAGGUAUGAGAGGUAUGAGAGGUUUGGGAGAAGGAGGUAUUAGACGUAUGACAGGUAUUGAGGCAAAUGUAUGAGGUAGAGGUAUUAAAGGUGGCGGUAUGAGAGGUAUUGGAGGUAUGAGAAGUAUUAGAGGUAUUGUAGGUAUUACAGGUAGAGGAGGUAGAGGUAUGAGAGAUAUUGGAGGCAGGUG
RNAcentral lists this long non-coding RNA (827 nucleotides) under Salmo salar (Atlantic salmon). RNAcentral describes it as "lncRNA (ENSSSAG00000104386.1)". Lineage: Eukaryota; Metazoa; Chordata; Actinopteri; Salmoniformes; Salmonidae. The record is from RNAcentral.